AGGAACCGAAUGCGGGAAAACCGCAUAUUCGGAUCUGUGCGGGGGACCGGUAACGGGCGUUCCUACCGCGAG
This 72-nucleotide unclassified non-coding RNA is filed under the name Candidatus Kentrum sp. TC. Lineage: Bacteria; Pseudomonadati; Pseudomonadota; Gammaproteobacteria. The record is from RNAcentral.